CCCUUCUUCAGACUUUAAGGGUCUCGACCCGAAACGUCACCCAUUCCUUCUCUCCAGAGAUGCUGCCUGUCCCGCCGGGAUACUCCAGCGUCUUGUGUCUGUCCUGGCUCU
Molecule: long non-coding RNA, 111 nt
Organism: Amblyraja radiata (thorny skate)
Lineage: Eukaryota; Metazoa; Chordata; Chondrichthyes; Rajiformes; Rajidae
Exons: 3
Source: RefSeq, a predicted model, not a curated record